This 3546-nucleotide long non-coding RNA is filed under the name Nicotiana benthamiana. RNAcentral describes it as "long non-coding RNA (NBEN_LNC004150)". The record is from RNAcentral. Lineage: Eukaryota; Viridiplantae; Streptophyta; Magnoliopsida; Solanales; Solanaceae.
UUUUAAUAAAUAAAAUAAAAUUUUUUCUUUCUUCUUUCUAAUAAAGAAAAGAAUAAAUGACUUCCAACUCUAAAGUUCAAACGACAAAUCCCAAUUCUCAAAUCAAGAAAAUUAGGGUUCUUCUCUGCCUCUGUUUAUCGACAAACAAACUCUGAUGGUCUGCUGUAACAAUCUGUCAGACGCCCUCCAAUUGUUCACUGUGUAUGCUCUUUCUCCCUUAUAAGUUAGACUCAUCUUCCUUCUUCAAUUCUUUUUUCUGAUUUUGUGCUUCAGAUUUUUCUCUUAUAUUUUAUUUUUGGUAAUUUAUACAAAAUUUGGUUUUUAAUCUUUGGUUCUAGGGUUGUCCUACAUUUUAACCUCUAUUCAAUUUGUGAAUUUAUGCUUUUGUACUUUCCAAAAGCUCAAACUUGGAAUCCCCAACCAUAUAUCUUGUCUAUCUGACGACUUUUCGAGGCGUAGAUCUCUUAAAAUGGUAUGCAGAUAAAAAGGAAGAUGUGAAAAGUGUGAUAUUAGGAAGAAUAUCCUCCUAAUUUACGUGACCACAUAAGGAGAAAUUAUAUACAUAAUAGACCUUGUCAACCUCGUGAUUUUGCCUUUCUAAAAAGAGAAUUUGGAGGAAUAAUGCGUCAUUUUAAUCCUGAAUGGCUUAAAACUUCAUGUUCUCAAUGGAUAGGAUAUAUCAUUAAACAAGAUGCAACAUUUUGUUUAUGUUGUUACUUGUUUAAAAAUAAGGUUGGAGGAUAUGGGGAAAAAGUAGGUGAUACUUUCACAACGGAUGAUUUUAGAGGUUGAAUAAAGAUUUAGAAAGGCUUAAAUCACAUGUGUGUGAAGUGAGUAGUGUUCAUGAUCGAUGUUUCAAGAUGAUUCUAGAUUUAAUAAACCAAGAACAAUUCAUUUUAACUUCUUUGUACAAGCAAUCUGAGAAAAUUAAAAGUAAACAUCGAGUUUGCUUGAAUGCUUCAAUUGACGUGAUAAGAUAUCUUUUGAAAGAAGGAAUGCCUUUUCGGGGCUUAUAUCUCUUAAAAUGGUAUGCAGAUAAGAAGGAAGAUGUGAAAAAUAUGGUAUUAGAAAAAGCUCCAAAAAAUAACACCAUGACUUCUCGUGAUAUUCAAAAAGAUAUUGUGAGUUCUUGUGCAAAAAAAAAGGGUGAAAGAAAUUAUUGAAGACUUGAAUGAUGAUUUUAUUGGGAUAUUAGUUGAUGAAUCUAAGGAUGUAUUUUCAAAAGGAACAAAUGGUUCUUGUUCUGAGCUAUGUCAACAAGGAAGGUGAACUUAUUGACUGAUUUCUUGGUCUUGUUCAUGUUAAAGGUACAACUGCACCUGCAUUACAAAAAGCAAUAUAUUCGUUACGUUUACAACAUUCAUUGAGUUCAUCUCUAAUACAAGGACAAGGGUAUGAUGGAGCAAGUAUCAUGAAAGGUGAAAUAAACGAUCUUAAAACUUUGAUUCUGAAAGAUAAUCCUUCCGCAUAUUGCAUACAUUGCUUUGCUCAUCUAUUGCAAUUCUCUUGUAGCUGUUGCAAAGAAAGACCGUGAUGUAAAUAAUUUUUUUGACAUUCUUGCUAAUAUUUCAAAUGUUGUUGGAGAUUCUUAUAAACAUAGGGAGAUGCUUGGAGAUGAUCAAGCUGAUUAGAUGGGUUAUAGAACUUGAGCUUCAAAGGCCGGUGAUACACGUUAGGGAUCUCACUUUAAGACAUUACGUAACUUUAUUUCUUUAUUCUCGUCAAUUGUUCCCUACAAAGAAAAUAUCAAGAUACUAUUAGUGUAAUAAAACUUGUUGAUUUAAAAAAGAAGUAGUUACAAACAAUGAGGGAAUCUAAAUGGAAUUCUUUGAUAGAAGAUGUCUCUUAGUUUUGUGAUAAGAAUGAUGUUGUAAUCCCAAAAAUGGAUGAGAAGUAUGUACUUGGAAAGUCGAAACGUAAAAGCUCAACUGUUACAUACUCUCAUCAUUUGUACAUAGAGGUUUUUGUGCUACUAUAGAUUUGCAACUUUCGGAGCUUAAUAGUCGUUUAAGUGAAGUGAAUACUGAGCUGCUUCUUGGUAUGACUAGUUCGAGUCCCGAUGAUGCUUUUGUAAAUUAUAACAAAAAUAAGAUUAUACAUAUUAUCCAAAUGAGUUCACUGCUUCUAACCUUGAAGAUCUUAGUUGUGAGCUUGACAACUAUAUUAACUAUGUGCGAGAAAUGAACAAUGCAUUCUCUAAAUUGAAAGGGCUUGGUGAUUUGUCGAAGAUAUUGGUUAAAAAAAAUAUUCACAAGACACAGGGACUUGUUUAUUUGGUUGUAAAGUUGAGUUUGAUAUUACCUGUGGCUACUACAACGGUCGAAAGGGCUUUUUCAUCAAUGAAGUUUAUUAAAAAUAAUUUGCGAAGCAGGAUUGGUGAUGACUUUUUGAAUGAUUGUUUAACUUGUUAUAUAGAGGAUGAAGUAUUUGAAAGUGUACCUAAUGAUGGUAUCAUUGAUCGUUUUCAAAACAUGACAAGUCAUCGAGUGCAAUUAAAAUGAUAAUGUUUAUAUUCAUGUAUUAUGUUUGUCUUUUAUUACUUUUUAAAUAUAUAUUAAAUAUCAAUACUCAUUUUUUAAUCAAUUUGUUAUUGUAUAUUAGUUUUAGUGAAAAAGUCCUAAAAAUGCCACUUAACUUUCAGAAAUGGUCUAUUCAUGCCUUUCGUUAAAACAAAUGUUCAUUUCAUGCCACUGCCGUUACACACUUGGCCCAUCCAUGCCACUAUUGACUAACAACAGUGGCAUGGAUGUGCCAAAUAAAAAUUGAGCUGUUAGUCAAUAAUGGCAUGGAUGGGCCAAAUGUGUAACGGCGGUGGCAUGAAAUGAACACUUUUUAACGGAUGGCAAGGAUAGACCAUUUCUGAAAGUUCAGUGGCAUUUUAGUCCUUUUCCAUUGUUUUAGGUCAUGAUUUUAUUUUAAAAUUUAGAACUCACACACUUCAAAUCAAAGCUUCGCCUCUACUUGUAACUAGAAGGUUUACUUGGUAAUGAUAAUAUUAGUCGUAGUUCUUAUAAAUUUUUCAAUACUAUCGCUAGUUGUAUAUGUAUACUGUAUACGGAAAAGGCCUAAAAAUGCCACUUAACUUUCAGAAAUGGUUUAUCAAUGCUAUCCGUUAAAAACUUGCUAUUUCCAUGCCACUGCCGUUAAAGAAAUGGCUCCUCUAUGCCAUUAUUGACUAACAACUCAAUUUUUGUUUGGCCCAUCCAUACCAUUAUCGUUAGUCAAUAAUGACAUGAACGAGCUAUUUCUUUAACGACAAUAACAUGAAAUGAGCAUUUUUUUAACGAAUAAUUUGAAUAGAACAUUUCUAAAUGUUAAGUGACAUUUCUAGACAUUUUCUCUAUUAUAUAUGUGAUUUGCAACAACUUUUAUGUUAAAGAAAGUGAUCGAGCACCCACACUCUUAAAAUUUUGAUUCCGUCACUUUAUGCAGAGUUAAAGCUGAAUUUCUCAAUUGUUCCGUCAUAUUUCCACGGAAGCAAGUUGCUGAUUGCAUAUGAGAACUAGUGAGAAGACAAAAAGGACACCAAUCAAACGUAGCUAGAAG